RNAcentral lists this ribosomal RNA (468 nucleotides) under uncultured bacterium. RNAcentral's name for it is "partial 16S ribosomal RNA". It matches the Rfam family "Bacterial small subunit ribosomal RNA", at positions 28 to 507 of the family's 1533-position model. The record is from RNAcentral.
GACGAACGCUGGCGGCGUGCUUAACACAUGCAAGUCGAACGGAAAGGCCCUGCUUUUGUGGGGUGCUCGAGUGGCGAACGGGUGAGUAACACGUGAGUAACCUGCCCUUGACUUUGGGAUAACUUCAGGAAACUGGGGCUAAUACCGGAUAGGAGCUCCUGCUGCAUGGUGGGGGUUGGAAAGUUUCGGCGGUUGGGGAUGGACUGGCGGCUUAUCAGCUUGUUGGUGGGGUAGUGGCUUACCAAGGCUUUGACGGGUAGCCGGCCUGAGAGGGUGACCGGCCACAUUGGGACUGAGAUACGGCCCAGACUCCUACGGGAGGCAGCAGUGGGGAAUAUUGCACAAUGGGCGGAAGCCUGAUGCAGCAACGCCGCGUGCGGGAUGACGGCCUUCGUGUUGUAAACCGCUUUCGCCUGUGACGAAGCGUGAGUGACGGUAAUAGGUAAAGAAGCACCGGCUAACUACGUG